AGCGAACGCUGGCGGCAGGCCUAACACAUGCAAGUCGAACGAACUCUUCGGAGUUAGUGGCGGACGGGUGAGUAACACGUGGGAACGUGCCUUUUGGUUCGGAAUAACUCAGGGAAACUUGUGCUAAUACCGAAUGUGCCCUUCGGGGGAAAGAUUUAUCGCCAUUAGAGCGGCCCGCGUCUGAUUAGCUAGUUGGUGAGGUAACGGCUCACCAAGGCGACGAUCAGUAGCUGGUCUGAGAGGAUGACCAGCCACACUGGGACUGAGACACGGCCCAGACUCCUGCGGGAGGAGGCGGGGGGAAAUCUUGCGAAAGGGGCGAAGGCCUGACGAAGCAAGGCCGGGUGAAUAAUGAGGUUUUUAGGAUUGAAAAUUUCUUCGCCGGGGGAGGAUAAGGACGGAACCGGGAAAAGAGGCCCCGGCUAGCUUCGUG
Molecule: ribosomal RNA, 433 nt
Filed under: uncultured bacterium
Lineage: Bacteria
Description: partial 16S ribosomal RNA
Rfam family: Bacterial small subunit ribosomal RNA
Source: RNAcentral